RNAcentral lists this long non-coding RNA (282 nucleotides) under Gallus gallus (chicken). RNAcentral describes it as "lncRNA (ENSGALG00010028349.1)". Lineage: Eukaryota; Metazoa; Chordata; Aves; Galliformes; Phasianidae. The record is from RNAcentral.
GAGGGAUGAAAGGGGAGGUGGUACCAAGCCUCAGCCCCAGGAGGUCCAGGAGAGCCGCAGAAGCGGGGGCAGGGGAGAAUAUCUUAGUCCAGAAGCUUGGAGCUCCUCACAGCCUUGCAGCUCCUCACAGCCUGGAGAAGAAAGACAAAGAGCUGGACUGAACUGGAGUCAGCACACAACUCUGAUGACUCUUCAUACCUACAUAUUCUACAAAGUCACUCUAAAGAGAUGUGGCUGAACUCAACAAAGUCCUCAUAAUGGGACGAAGUGACACUGCAGCAG